This 206-nucleotide ribosomal RNA is filed under the name uncultured bacterium. RNAcentral's name for it is "partial 16S ribosomal RNA". The record is from RNAcentral.
CCUCUAGAGAUUAUUACCGCGGCUGCUGGCACGGAGUUAGCCGGUGCUUCUUCUGCGGGUAACGUCAAUCGGUGAGGUUAUUAACCUCACCGCCUUCCUCCCCGCUGAAAGUACUUUACAACCCGAAGGCCUUCUUCACACACGCGGCAUGGCUGCAUCAGGGUUUCCCCCAUUGUGCAAUAUUCCCCACUGCUGCCUCCCGUAGG